RNAcentral lists this ribosomal RNA (1175 nucleotides) under Fructobacillus fructosus. RNAcentral describes it as "bacterial SSU rRNA". It matches the Rfam family "Bacterial small subunit ribosomal RNA", at positions 163 to 1326 of the family's 1533-position model. Lineage: Bacteria; Bacillati; Bacillota; Bacilli; Lactobacillales; Lactobacillaceae. The record is from RNAcentral.
CUAAUACCGGAUAAAACCCAAGUGCACAUGCACUAAGGUUAAAAGCUGCGUUUGCAGCGCUUUAAGAUGGAUUCGCGGUGCAUUAGUUAGUUGGUGAGGUAAAGGCUCACCAAGACGAUGAUGCAUAGCCGAGUUGAGAGACUGACCGGCCACAUUGGGACUGAGACACGGCCCAAACUCCUACGGGAGGCUGCAGUAGGGAAUCUUCCACAAUGGGCGCAAGCCUGAUGGAGCAACGCCGCGUGUGUGAUGAAGGCUUUCGGGUCGUAAAGCACUGUUGUAUGGGAAGAACGGGUUUAAGAGGAAAUGCUUAGACAGUGACGGUACCAUACCAGAAAGGGACGGCUAAAUACGUGCCAGCAGCCGCGGUAAUACGUAUGUCCCGAGCGUUAUCCGGAUUUAUUGGGCGUAAAGCGAGCGCAGACGGUUGCUUAAGUCUGAAGUGAAAGCCCACAGCUCAACUGUGGAAUGGCUUUGGAAACUGGGCAACUUGAGUACAGUAGAGGUAAGUGGAACUCCAUGUGUAGCGGUGGAAUGCGUAGAUAUAUGGAAGAACACCAGUGGCGAAGGCGGCUUACUGGACUGCAACUGACGUUGAGGCUCGAAAGUGUGGGUAGCAAACAGGAUUAGAUACCCUGGUAGUCCACACCGUAAACGAUGGAUACUAGUUGUUAGAGGGUUUCCGCCCUUUAGUGACGAAGCAAACGCAUUAAGUAUCCCGCCUGGGGAGUACGACCGCAAGGUUGAAACUCAAAGGAAUUGACGGGGACCCGCACAAGCGGUGGAGCAUGUGGUUUAAUUCGAAGCAACGCGAAGAACCUUACCAGGUCUUGACAUCCUUUGAAGGUACUAGAGAUAGUACUGUCUUCUUCGGAAGCAAAGUGACAGGUGGUGCAUGGCCGUCGUCAGCUCGUGUCGUGAGAUGUUGGGUUAAGUCCCGCAACGAGCGCAACCCUUAUGUUUAGUUGCCAGCAUUCAGUUGGGCACUCUAGACAGACUGCCGGUGACAAACCGGAGGAAGGCGGGGACGACGUCAGGUCAUCAUGCCCCUUAUGACCUGGGCUACACACGUGCUACAAUGGCGUAUACAACGAGCAGCAAACCUGUGAAGGUAAGCGAAUCUCUUAAAGUACGUCUCAGUUCGGAUUGUAGUCUGCAACUCGACUACAUGAAGU